Molecule: non-coding RNA, 2543 nt
Organism: Callithrix jacchus (white-tufted-ear marmoset)
Lineage: Eukaryota; Metazoa; Chordata; Mammalia; Primates; Cebidae
Source: RefSeq, a predicted model, not a curated record
GGAGGAAUUCAAGACCAGCCUGGCCAACAUGGUGAAACUUCGUCUCUGCUAAAAAUACAAAAUUUAGCCAGGCCUGGUGGUGGGUGCCUGUAAUCUCAACUACUCGGAAGACUGAGGCAAGAGAAUUGCUGGAACCUGGGAGGUAGAAGUUGCAGUGAGCUGAGAUCAUGCCAUUGCACUCCAGCCUGGGUGACAGCAACAAGACUCCAACUCAAAAAAACAAACAACAACAAAAGUAGCUGGGCAUGGUGGGGUGUGCCUGUAAUCCCAGCUACUCAGGAGGCUGAGGCAGGAGAAUCACUUGAACUUGGGAGGCAGAGGUUGCAGUGAGCCUAGAUUGUGCCAGUGCACUCCAGCCUCGGCAACAGAGUGAAACUCUGUCUCAAAAAAAUAAAAUAGGGUCUCCUUGAACUCUCCUGCAGCUGUCGGGAUUCCUGUGGCUUUCUUCAUUGUCGGGGCCAGGCCUACGCGCCAGCAACCAUGUCGAAGGGACCUGCCAUUGGUAUUGAUAUUGGCACCAUCUACUCUUGUGUGGGUGUUUUCCAGUACUGAAAAGUAGAAAUAAUUGCCAAUGAUCAAGGAAACUGAACCACUCCAAGCUAUGUCGCCUUUACUGACAUCAAACGAUUGAUUGGUGAUGCCACAAAGAAUCAAGUUGCAAUGAACCCCACCAUCACGGUUUUUGAUGCCAAACGUCUGAUUGGGCGCAGAUUUGAUGAUGCUGUUGUCCAGUCUGAUAUGAAGCACUGGCCCUUCAUGGUGGUGAAUGAUACUGGCAGGCCCAAGGUCCAAGUAGAAUAUAAGGAAGAGACUUCUAUCCAGAGGAGGUAUCCUCUGUGGUUCUGACAAAGAUGAAGGAAAUUGCAGAAGCCUCGCUUGGGAAGACUGUUACCAUGCCUGCUACCAGUGCCGUGGUCACGGUGCCCGCUACCAAUGCCGUGGUCACAGUGCCAGCUACCAAAGACGCUGGAACUAUUGCUGGUCUCAAUGUACUUAGAAUUAUUAAUGAGCCAACUGCUGCUGCUGUUGCUUUCGGCUUAGACAAAAAGCUUGGAGCAGAAAGAAACGUGCUGAUCUUUGGCCUGGGAGGUGGCACUUUUGAUGUGUCAAUCCUCACUAUUGAGGAUGGAAUCUUUGAGGUCAAAUCUACAGCCAGAGACACCCACUUGGGUGAAGAUUUUGAUAAGCAAAUGGUCAACCACUUUAUUGCUGAGUUCAAGCACAAACAGAAGAACGUCCUCAGUGAGAACAAGAGACCUGCAAGACGCCUCCGUACUGCUUGUGAGCAUGCUAAGCGUACUCUCUCUUCCAGCACCCAGGCCAGUAUUGAGACUGAUUCUCUCUAUGAAGGAAUCAACUUCUAUACCUCCAUUACCCGUGCCCAUUUUGAAGAAUUGAAUGCUGACCUGUUCCAUGGCACCCUGGCCCCCGUAGAGAAGCCAAACUAGACAAGUCACAGAUUCAUGAUAUUGUCCUGGUUGGUGGUUCUAUCACAUCCCCAAGAUUCAGAAGCUUCUCCAAGACUUCUUCAGUGGAAAAUAACUGAAUAAGAGCAUCAGCCCUGAUGAAGCUGUUGCUUAUGGUGCAGCUGUCCAGGCCACCAUCCUGUCUGGAGACAAGUCUGAAAAUGUUCAAGAUUGGCUGCUCUUGGAUGUCACUCCUCUUUCCCUUAGUAUUGAAACUGCUGGUGGAGUCAUGACCUUCCUCAUCAAGCGUAAUACUACCAUUCCCACCAAGCAGACACAGACCUUCACUACCUAUUCUGACAACCAGCCUGGUGUGCUUAUUCAGGUUUAUGAAGGUGAGCGUGCCAUGACCAAGGAUAACAACCUGCUUGGCAAGUUUGAACUCACAGGCAUAUUGCCUGCAUCCCAAGGUGUUCCUCAGACUGAAGUCACUUUUGACACUGUUACCAAUGGCAUCCUCAGUAUGUCUGCUGUGGACAAGAGUACAGGAAAAGAGAACAAGAUACUAUCACUAAUGACAAGGGCUGUUUGAGCAAGGAAAACAUUGAACGCAUGGUCCAGGAAGCUGAGAAGUACAAAGCUGAAGAUGAGAAGCAGAGGGACAAAGUGUCAUCUAAGAAUUUGCUUGAGUCCUAUGCAUUCAACAUGAAAGCAGCUGUCGAAGAUGAGAAACUUCAAGGCAAGACUAACGAUGAGGACACACAGAAGAUUCUGCACAGAUGUAAUGAAAUUAUCAACUGGCUCGAUAAGAAUCAGACUGCUUAGAAGGAAGAAUUUGAAUAUCAACAGAAAGAGGAGGAGAGAGUCUUCAACCCCAUCAUCACCAAGCUGUGUACCAGAGUGCAGGGGGGCAAGCCAGGAGGGACGCUUGGGGCAUUCCCUGGUGGUGGAGCUCCUCCCUCUGGUGGUGGAGCUCCUCCCUCUGGUGGUGGAGCUCCUCCCUCUGGUGGUGGAGCUCCUGCCUCUGGUGGUGCUUCCUCAGGGCCCACCAUUGAAGAUACUGAUUAAGCCAACCCAAGUGUAGAUGUCGUAGCAUUGUUCCGCACAUGUAAAACAUUGAAGGAUCUAAAUUUGUAG